This 482-nucleotide ribosomal RNA is filed under the name uncultured bacterium. Its description in RNAcentral is "partial 16S ribosomal RNA". It matches the Rfam family "Bacterial small subunit ribosomal RNA", at positions 30 to 507 of the family's 1533-position model. The record is from RNAcentral.
AUUGAACGCUGGCGGCAUGCCUUACACAUGCAAGUCGAACGGUAACAGGUCUUCGGAUGCUGACGAGUGGCGAACGGGUGAGUAAUACAUCGGAACGUGCCCGAUCGUGGGGGAUAACGAAGCGAAAGCUUUGCUAAUACCGCAUACGAUCUACGGAUGAAAGCAGGGGACCGCAAGGCCUUGCGCGAACGGAGCGGCCGAUGGCAGAUUAGGUAGUUGGUGGGAUAAAAGCUUACCAAGCCGACGAUCUGUAGCUGGUCUGAGAGGACGACCAGCCACACUGGGACUGAGGCACGGCCCCGGCUCCUACGGGGGGCCGCAGUGGGGAAUUUUGGACAAUGGGCGGAAGCCUUAUCCAGCCCUGCCGCGUGGAGGAUGAAGGCCUUCGGGUUGUUAACUGCUUUUGUUAGGAACGAAAAGACUCUGGUUAAUACCUGGGGUCCAUGACGGUACCGUAAGAAUAAGCACCGGCUAACUACGUG